Molecule: long non-coding RNA, 6133 nt
Organism: Zea mays
Lineage: Eukaryota; Viridiplantae; Streptophyta; Magnoliopsida; Poales; Poaceae
Exons: 2
Source: RefSeq, a predicted model, not a curated record
GGGUACUACUGAACUUGUAUACUAUAAAUCGAAAACCACCAAGAGUAUACAUCCUCAAUACUCAGAUUAGACCCGUGGAACUAGCGACCAGGAACUAACGAUCCUGGAGGGUGAACUUAUAGGCAGGAUGGCUGGUAAGGGGUGGACAACAGGUUUGGUUGUGUUGCACCGUUUCGCAGAACGGGAAGAAAAGGUAUGGGACGUAUGUGCGUCUUGAGGUAGUAAUUUAUAAGGGCGUGGAGGGAGUUUGUUGAAUUCUGUUACCGUCGGAGUCGGACUCUAUCUCUAUCUCCAAAAGUCCGUUCUAAUCUAAUCUCUUCGUGCGUCGUCCUAAUCAGCGCGAGCCGCAGCCCCCGCUGACGCGAAUCGCGACCUCCGCGCGACCCUCCGCUGACCCGGUCUCCCUGCCGCCUGGAGCGAUGAAACCGCACCCUCGCGCCCAAGCCCAGACUCAAAACUCAGCCAAACCCUUCGCAUCUUCCUGUGGUGGCGUCCUCCUCCAACGUUGGUCCGUGUUUGUCUCCAUGGCGCUCUCGAAUGCCUAAGCCAAGGCCGACCGCGUCGAGCUGGUGCUGCAGGUGCUCGACGAAACGCCCCGCAGGACCGAGUUCUCGUAGACCAUGCUCGUCGAUUCUCUGGCGAGGGCCGGCCGACAGCACGACGCAUUCUGCCUCUCCGCGGAGAUGCGGGCCUCCAGCGUGGCCUGCGACUCCCACGUCUGCGUAUGUCACUACGGGAAGAGCUACAUAUUCAUCGUAAAUUAUGUGGAAAGGAUGUACAAGCAAGCUGCCCUUGUGCAGACAGACUCAGACGUGUAGAGAAGACAUGGUGUUCGCUGAGGAUUGCAAGAUCCAUUGCUGCAUAGGCUGAUGUAUGCGGCACACCAUCAGGAGCAGACUGAUCCCGCACACAUAAGGUCAGGUACCCUCUAGAUUAGCAGAAAAAACUUAAACUUUUGGUCUUCUUCCUUUGAUUACGAACAAAUAUAAUAUAUUUUUUUCUGUAAAAUUUUAUAUAUUAUUGAACUUAUUAAAAUUUGUUCUAUAUCAUGUGGUCUCAGUGCACGCUUUGCGGAUUUUAUCCUGGGAAUUCUGAAUUUGGCUUGCCCUUUGCGGAUUUUCAAGUGGUGUGUGCUAUUUGUGGAUAGGUUUGGUGCUGCGAACAGAGUGUUAGAACCAAAUUAUUGUCAGGCUAAACCGAUUUAUAUCAUAGCUGCAGGUGAUUUUUUUCUUAUGAUUAUGAUCUUAAAGGGGAUUUAGUUGGACCGUGCUCUUCUGCUAUAACUGUAAAGUUAGGGUGCCAAAUAGUUGAUGCACCUGCUUCAUCAUCUAGAAAAAAGAAAUAAAGGAGAUUUCUGACGAGUUUCAUUUUUUUAUGGAACCUUCGUUGGUGGCUCGAGCAACAUAUAAAGGCGAUCAUCACUUCCGACGAGUUGAGUUUUAUUGCUUACUAUUUCCUUCCUUCCGAUUCUUAGCUGCUAGGAGCUUUCAAGUUGUUCCCUCCCAUAAUCUAGAGUAAUUACAGAUCUGUACACGUUAUAUAAGCAACUUCCCUUAUGCAAACCUGGAUGAUUAGUUAUGUAUAUAGAAUUUUGAAGAGAAAAUAUAUUUUUUCGAAUACAGACUUUGUUCUGCCCUCGAAUCCUCCAUUUAAAAUAGCAGCUUGAUGUACUAGUUCUCACGCCAUGCUGCUAUAAAAUAAUUGGAAGGCCAUAGUUUAUUUGAUUGCCAUAGCCCAAAGUUUCACUUCCAUUGCCAUGGUUGAGUGAUGAAUUUCCAUGAUGCUCCUAUGGCGUAAAACAAACUAAAAAAGGUCGUCAUUAAUCAUUAUUGGAGUUGUGGUAAAACAUAUAUCAAAUCAUUUGGUUCAUGUGAACUGAUCUAGAAACCACGUUCUGUAUCAGCAACUCAUCGCACAAGGCUGACUAGAGAGCAACUGUAAGCUUACCACAAACACUAAAAGCCUUCUUCCAACUGGUAUGACAGUUCCACUUGGCUUCUCCCUAUGUGUGUUUCAAAUCAAAAUGUGCAAGAGACACAUACCCAAUUGAAGACCCAUCCAUGGUGCCUAAAACAUUAAUAAAUGCUUAUGUAGUUCCAAACCUCACGGCAUAAUAUAGCAAGCUGAUUGCAGUUAACUUACCACUGAGAGGGCAUUUUGUGUAACGGUCGAUGGUGCCUGGCACGAUAUCACCAAUUAAGGACCCACUUUCAUCAUUUGUUUGUGGAGUCCUCAACGAUUGAUGAUUACUACCCAGCCAUGUACCAGCAGUUGACACUGGACUCGUUAAAAAAGAUCUUGUGACCUGUACAAUCAACUACAAACUUAUAAUUUCGUAAACCUGUAUUUGACUAUUUGUUAGCAUACUGCACAGCAGUGAAAGCAGAGACAUUCAGUAGUUAGAUAGGUAGAAACUUAAGAGCAUACUUCUUGACUUAUGAGGUCCACACACAAAAACGAAAAAUUGUCUAACAUUUGUUCAAACAGAUGAAGCGCAUGUCAUUAGAGUUGGUUGCCCGUACUAUAUCUGUGGACAUGUGAGCAGAUGUUAACUUGGUUUUUAUCGUCCACCUUCCCAUCAUUGGACAUGUGAGCACGGCUAUCAUGGAGUUCUUCAACCAAUGGCCCACAAUAGUGCUUGCCCUUUUGAACUCACCCGCGUUCAAAAACAUCACAUGCUCACAAAAUCAGUAAGGAAAGCAAUAAAAGACAUAACUUGUUUCUAAAACGGUGGCUUUUGUUUCUUCAGUUCACCAUCAUAUUCAACUUUGUCAUUGUAUGUUGCUAAAAAAAACUCGGUCAGGGAGGGAAAGACCGUCCUCCCGGUAUUAUAUUAAGAAAAGACCGAAACAAUGGUCUCGGUCGAGAAAAUCUUUGAACCCUGGCCCCUAUCACUAAUGGGCCUCGUCAACGGUCCACUCUGUAACGGCCCAACCGGAGAUAAGAAGAAAAAGGGGCCCAAAGGAGCACCCAAAUACAAACCUCUCACUACGGCGGCCAAAAACAAGCAUACACAAAACUAUCCAUAAAAACACCGAGACUGCAGCCCUCCACCACUAGUACUGGGAGCAACCAAAAAGGAGAGACCCUUUGCUCCAGCAGCUUGCCAUUUCUCCCUCUUCUCAUUGACAAAAUCCAAGAGCAUGGUGAGGCUUGGUGACACACCAUCAAAUACCGCUCCGUUCCUAUGCUUCCAAAUCAACCAUGCCCCAAGAAUGAGCAGAGAGUCCAAUCCUUGUCAAGCCAGACACAAUGGCUGAAAUUCUUUUCCACCACAAUAGGAAGUGAGUGUCAUCAUGAAGAGGACCCAAAGCAGCACACCCUUGAGAAAACACAAGAUACCAGCAAAUGGUUGGUCUCUGGCUCUUAAUCACAAAUGGGGCAUCUAGGAGGGUGAUUCAAGCCUCUUUUUUCCAGCCUGUCAGCAGUCCAGCAUCUAUUAUGAGCCACCAACAACAAAAAAGAACUUACAUUUGGGGGUGCCCAAGACUUUUAGAUCCUUUGAUAAUGUUCAAAGGAAACAGAUCCAAAAAGAGGCCAUUGUAUACGAACUAGCAGAAUAUUGGAUAUCAGGGGCAACUGAAAAAAUAUGUUUAUCCUUAGUAUUAGGUUGCAACACCAUACCAGAUAAAGAGUUCCAAAGGUGAAGAUAGUCAGUCAAAGCUCCCACAGUUAAUGCCCCUCUAAUAUCAGCAAUCCAACCUCUGUUUAACAAGGCUUCUUCAUUUGGCUAGCCUCUAUUAAUCAUUGUUGGACGACUGAUCGUCUAGCUCGUAGAGGUUUGGACCACCCCCAGUGUUUCUUACUUUGUGAUAAGCAGGAAGAGACGGUGCAACACUUGUUGGUGUCUUGUGUUUUUGCAAGAGAGGUCUGGUUCAGAAGUUUGGGCAGAAUGAGGUUGCAGCACUUGGCGCCCAUUCCUGAUGCUGCUGUGUUCCAGGAUUGGUGGAGAGAAUCUAAGGAAUUGGUGCCAAAGCCACAAAAGUAAGGAUUCAAUUCCUUGGUGAUUUUAGUGGCUUGGCAAAUUUGGAAACAUAGGAACACUUGUGUUUUUGAAGUUGCUUCUCCGUAUAUCAGCAAGAUUUUGCAUGAUAUUCAUGAUGAAGCUGUUUUGUGGGGUAUGGCUGGGGGUAGGGGCCUAUGAGGCCAGUAACCAUCCCUCUCCUUCCUGAGGUCUAGUGUGUUUGGAUUGGUUGUGUGUGUCUGAUGGAUUGUUUCAGUUUUCUGUGUUUUUGCCCUCCGUAAGGAAACCCUUGUAUUUGCCUAUUUGGUCUUCUUAGACCUUUUCCUUUCCUCUUAAUAUAAUGAGGCACAGUUCUCCUGCAUUUUCGAGAAAAACAAGGUUUCCUGUACAGUUGUUCUGGAAGCAAUUCUUUUUGGGAUAAUACUGAACAGCCUUGGGGCAAUAUCUGAGACUCUCUUUCCAUUAAUCCAUUUGUUAGUCCAAAAAAGGGUAUUAGAGCCAUUCCCAACCUCAGUGAUAAGAACAACAGAAAAGAAUGAUCUGGCCUUACUAGGAAAUUGUAUAGGGAGAUCAAUCCAUGGUUUGGUAGGGUUAGUUUUUUCCAACCAAAGCCAUCUCAUUAUAAGUGCCCAACAUAGCUCAGGGAAACUAGAGAUACCCACACCUCCCAUUGCCUGAGGUCUGCACACUUCCCCCAAGCAACCAGACAAUGGCCACCCUUCGCUUCCCUCCUCCCUCUUCAUAAGAAACCCUUCCCGAUCUUAUCAAAUUCAUUAAUGCCCCAUUUGGGGAAGUCAAUAGCCAUUGCAGUAUAGACAGACAUCCCAGUAAGAACAUGCUGCACCAAAACUCUUCUGCCUGCCCUGUUAAGCAAUUCAGCCUUCCAGUUGGGUAACCUAUCAGCAAUUUUGUCCACCAAGGGCCAGGAUUGAUGCUUAGAAAGUUUAUGUAAGGAUAAUGGAAGGCCCAAAUAUUUGCAAGGGAAGGAAGCAAUCUCACAAGGUAAGAUGUUUUGAACAGCCAGUAUAGUUUCCUCAGAACAUCUUAUGGGAUAAACAUUAGACUUUUGAGCAUUGUUAUGGAGUCCAGAAGCAUCCCCAAAAAGUUUUAGGAUGUCAAGGGUGGUAGAGAUAUCAUCCUGGGUGGGAUGCAUAAACAGGGCCACAUCAUCAACAUAGAUUGAUAUUCUGUGUAUUUUUUUCCUGCUGCAUAAAUGCUGUAACAAACCUUCCUCAGCUUUGAAAAAUAGAAAACUCAGAACAUCCAUAGAAAUAAUAAAUAGCAUUGGAGACAGAUGGUCUCCCUGUCUGAGGCCUCUUCUAUGUUGGAUAAUUGUGCCUGGACCGCCAUUCAAAAGCACUUGAGUGGUAGAUGAUCCAAGAAGCUCACAUAUGAUGUCUCUCCAUAUCAGACCAAAACCCAUAUGUUUCAUUACUUCAAUCAAGAAAGGGCAAGAAACAGAAUCAAAUGCUUUUGUUAUAUCUAACUUGAAGAGCAAUCUGGCCUUAUUCUGAGAAUGCAGUAAUCUGGAUUUCUAUUGGACCAGCAUGAAAUUGUCUUGAAUAAAUCUUCCUUUGAUGACAGCACUUUGGUUUGGGGAGACUAUCUCAUUCAGUUUUUUUGCCAGUCGGUUGGCAAGCACCUUGGUGACUAAUUUGGCAAAACUAUGUACCAAACUAAUGGGUCUGAAAUCGUUGACCUGAUCAGCCCCCUCCACUUUAGGGAUCAUAGUAAUAUAUGCUGAAUUGAGUCUGCUCAUAUUUGUGAAAUUGCUGUGCCAAACAGCUCCCACUGCCUUUAGCACAUCUUUUUUGAUAAUAUUCCAGCAUACUUUAUAGAACCUUCCAGUGAAACCAUCAGGCCAGGGGCCUUGUUAGAAGGCAAAUUUCUAAUAGUGUCCCAAGUUUCCUGUUCUGAAAAUGGGAGAUCCAAUUCAGAGAGAUUAUGCACAGGUAACCCAAGAGCCUCAAGGUUUAUAGUUCUUUCCCUCCCUGCAGCCAGCCCUAUAAGGUUGUAUAGAAGUAAUCUACAAGAGCUUUUUUCUCAGUAUGGCUAGUUAAAGUAUUCUCCCCAUCUCUGAGUUUGGUCACCAAGUUCUUUCUCUUUCUAUGUCUGGCAUGCAUGUGAAAAAACUUGGUGUUUGCAUCCCCAUCCUUCAACCAACUGAUU